Molecule: long non-coding RNA, 2303 nt
Organism: Pongo pygmaeus (Bornean orangutan)
Lineage: Eukaryota; Metazoa; Chordata; Mammalia; Primates; Hominidae
Exons: 4
Source: RefSeq, a predicted model, not a curated record
AGCAGCAUUUCUAAAGCUGCUUAGCUGAUUCUAACAUGCAGCCAGGAUUGAGAUCUUGUGGGUGUUAUUUUACUAUGAGAUGAUUCUGCUGUUGACUUUCAGUCUACUGUGGCCCAAAGUGGGAGAUGAGCAGCCUGAUUCCAGUCUGAUCCAUCUGCAUUCAUAAGAUGGAUUCUCACUCUGUCACCAGGCUGGAGUGCAGUGGCACAAUCUCAGCUCACUAUAACCUCCACCUCCUGGGUUCAAGCAAUUCUCCUGCCUCAGCCUCCUGAGUAGCUGCGACUACAGGUGUAAGAUCUGGGACUACAUUCUAUUUUCUGUAAAUUGUGCAGAGCAAGUGUGUGGUGACCAUUUUUUCCCCUCGGAUUUUAAUCUACCGGAUAUGCCCAUAGAGUUUGCAGGAAUAACAGCUGGUUCUGGAAGCUGUUGGAGAUGUGAGAUAAAGACAGCAUCCUUACAGAGUGCUGCAACCAAAAGCCAGAGAGAGUCUUGCCUUUCGCAAUGCCAAAUCAAAAAGGUGAAUGCAUAGCCCACUCAGAGAAAUAAACCUUAUGAAGACAGUCUUCGCUACAGGGGCCUGCUCAUCAUCCAAUACCAUCCUCUUGGCUGUGGACCUUUUGAUGAAACAUUGAAAUUAGAAUCAACCAACCUAAAUAUCUGUAACAAUAUCUGGAAAGGUGUAUAAUUCAGAAUUGCAUGAAGACAACAAGAUUGGUAAACUUGCUAUAGUUGACACUUAGGACUGGCAAUUCUGUGUGUGCUCCUGUAACCCCAGCCAUGCCUGGAGAGUGUUCUCAAAUCUGGGCAUAUCUUCUCUGGAGUAUUCAAGUGGUCUCUUGAAUGCCAUACAUGGCAAUUUUGUAUGCUGAAUUGUGUCCCCUCUCUCCAAAUUCGUAAGUUGACAUCCAAACCCUCAUUACUUCAGAAUACAACUGCAUUUUGGAGAUAAGGUUUAUAAAGAGAUAAUUAAGUUAAAAUGAGGUCCUAAUCCAAUCUGACUAGCAUCCUUCAGAAAAGAGGAAGAAAUGCCAGGAGUGUGAGAGCACAAAGGGUCAAUUAUGUGAAGAGGCGUCAAGAGGGCAGCCAUCUGCAAGUCAGAGAGAUAAACCUUAGGAGAAACCAAUUUGCCAGUGCCUUGAUUUUGGACUCUCUUCUUCAGAAAUGUGAAAAAAUAAAUUUUGUUGAUUAAGCCACCUAGUCUGUAGUAAUUUGUUAUGUCAACCCUAGCAAACUAUUCCAACAGCAAAGAACAUUAGUCCUGGAUAUUUCAAGCGCACCAAAUGGCUAACUCUGCAAUCAAGAUAAAGCAUCGCAAGGAGUCUUGAGCUCUCAUCUUCCUCAUCCAAAAACCCUCAACCUUGGUUCCCAGUCACCCUCCACCAACCCCCUCCUUCUUAGUUUGGCUUUGCCUCAUCGCUUGUCAGUCAUCCUCUGUACAAUGGAUUUUGGCGAUGAUAGGGGCCCAGUAGCUUUAGAUUCUGAGCAUUGAAAAGAAAAUACGUUCUAUAUGGGCUGGUCUCCAGGCACACUGUCUAAAGGGUAAUCAAAAAUUUUCCAUGAAAUGUAACCACCCUCUUGCCAUCAGAUCUUGUAUGUAUUGUUGUACAGAAUAUGUUUUAUCAGUUCUUCAAUGUGAUUUUCCAUAAAACAACCCCUUCUUAUUAUUUGAACUUUGAUAUACAACAUACUCCAAGAGGAGGUUAAGUUUCUUGAACUGGUUGUGAGGAAGGUUAGGAAAUUCAUCCUACCAUACUCACAGCACUAUAGAGGCAAAUGUGGCCUAAAAUUAUAUCCUUGCAACUGCUUCUACCAGGUUUAUGAAAUUACUCUACAGUUUCCAGUUUCUUCUUACUAAGGUGCUAGCAAUAACCAUUAAAGAAGGUAAGCCUCUGCUUAGUCCUGCCUAAAUUCCUUCUCAUCUGAUUUCUGUUUUCCCAUGUUGUUCUUUUCCCUUUGAGGAAUGAAAAUUUCUCAUGCCUAGAUCCUUACUUCUUAAUCUCUGUUUAUACAGUUCUCCAAAAUGUAUGCAAUAACAUUUAGCAAUAAAUGUCUAUAAGCUCUUUUCAUCUUGCAAAAACUUGGCUGCCUACAAAUUUAUCACCCUGGAAAUGACAUCUGCCUGUUCUAUCAAGUUGGAAAUGCUGCUCACCAACCUGAGCACUUGUGCCUUUUUCUCCAACCUGCUGGGAAGUUGGAGGAGCCUGGAUCUCUUGUGGGAAGAGCCAUUCCCAAACGGUGCCUGAGCUAAAAGCAGAUCUCAUGGUGGCAGGGGUGAUAUCUACAAUAUUUAAUAACUAGUAAGG